GCGUACUUCCAUUUUCAACAUCCUUAUAAAACAUUUUAGUUCUCUAAGCUGGGUUUUACCAUACAACAAUACAGAGCAAAUACUUAUCAUGAAGACCCACCAGUUCCACUCCUACACCGAGGUUUAUACCCAGAAUCCUUAGUAUCAGAAUUCUUAUUCCAUUGUCAUUAAAAUAUCGAAAGUCUCUUCACCCUCAAGUUGAUUCAAUUAAGUGAAUUGAAAAUUAUCAACCUUCCAUGUCAAUCUAGGAAGCACCCACAUGCCGCAGAAGCUGGCAUGUAAAUGCCCAAUGUGCACUGGAAGAGAUAUGUCAGGUUCCCUCCUUCAACGUAAUUUGACUACAUACACUUGUAGAGAUUUCUCAAUUGCGAAAUGCAUCAAAGCCUUGGGUACUAAGAAACAACAAGAUGAGUUAUAAGUAGUCAACUAAUUCACAUCGAGAUCAUGAAUGCUAGAAUCCAUAUUAUGAAAUGAGAAAUGGCUUUUGCUAAUUCGUCGGCAAAUGGGAGGUGAAAUUGAAAUGGGAGAAACUAAAAAGAAACUGAAGAAUUAAAAUAUCCAAGGGAGAAACAUCACCUCCAAAUAGCUAAAGGAGAAAAGGGGGCUGGUUGGAAUAGGAAAUGUGUGCUCGUGCAUGAAAGUUGGCCAAAGAAUUCAAUUAUCCAACUAAACUACCUGCGAAAAAACUUCUUUCACAUUGUAUGGGUGCGGAUUUGCCAUUCACUUCACCUUCAAAAAAUUUCAUUGAAUUCAUCAACUACUACUAUCAUCCUUUUGAAUGAUUAUAAUCUAGACCUCUUCGGAAUACAUGCCAAAACAUAAGAUAAGACUCAAUGAAGGGCGGACACGAUUUUCAUAAUGCAACUAAGACUUUUUCAUAUGCAAGAGUUGUGGCACAUAUGUUAAAGUUACCCGGCUGUUGGGG
RNAcentral lists this long non-coding RNA (925 nucleotides) under Olea europaea subsp. europaea. Lineage: Eukaryota; Viridiplantae; Streptophyta; Magnoliopsida; Lamiales; Oleaceae. The record is from RNAcentral.